CCUACGGUGGGUAGCAGUGAGGAAUAUUGGUCAAUGGACGAGAGCCUGAACCAGCCAAGUAGCGUGAGGGAAGACUGCCCUAUGGGUUGUAAACCUCUUUUGUCUGGGAACAAAAGGCUCCACGCGUGGCAUUCCGUGAGUACCCUAAGAAAAAGCAUCGGCUAACUCCGUGCCAGCAGCCGCGGUAAUACGGAGGAUGCGAGCGUUAUCCGGAUUUAUUGGGUUUAAAGGGUGCGCAGGGGGAAGGUCAAGUCAGUUGGGAAAAUGUAGGGCUCAAACCCCAUAGUGCCGUUGAAACUGGUAGUCUUGAGUGAGUGAGAGGUAUGCGGAAUGCGUGGUGUAGCGGUGAAAUGCAUAGAUAUCACGAAGAACUCCGAUUGCGAAGGCAGCAUACUGGAGUUCAACUGACGCUGAUGCACGAAAGUGUGGGUAUCGAACAGGAUUAGAUACCCUUGUAGUC
This 460-nucleotide ribosomal RNA is filed under the name uncultured bacterium. RNAcentral's name for it is "partial 16S ribosomal RNA". It matches the Rfam family "Bacterial small subunit ribosomal RNA", at positions 338 to 795 of the family's 1533-position model. The record is from RNAcentral.